UACUCUCAACCCCUGGGGUCUUUUACACGGACCACCUUGGGCUUGGAUCAUGGACGCUGCCGGCCCCCCUCGGGGGUGUGGCUCGUCUGAAAUACAUGAGCUGACCUGUCUGCGAACAGCACGGUUUGACUCGGCGUAAUAAAUCCGUUUUUCGUCGGGGACACCCUUCGCGGGGUGGCCGGGCUCGCGGUCUUCGGGUUGCUUACAAUCGAAUAGUCCCAUCUAU
Molecule: unclassified non-coding RNA, 226 nt
Filed under: uncultured Basidiomycota
Lineage: Eukaryota; Fungi; Basidiomycota
Description: sequence contains ITS2
Source: RNAcentral